This 876-nucleotide ribosomal RNA is filed under the name uncultured organism. RNAcentral describes it as "bacterial SSU rRNA". It matches the Rfam family "Bacterial small subunit ribosomal RNA", at positions 240 to 1121 of the family's 1533-position model. The record is from RNAcentral.
AUCAGCUUGUUGGCGGGGUAACGGCCCACCAAGGCGACGACGGGUAGGUGGUCUGAGAGGAUGGUCACCCACACUGGGACUGAGAUACUGCCCAGACUCCUACGGGAGGCUGCAGUCGAGAAUCAUCCGCAAUGGGCGAAAGCCUGACGGUGCAAUGCCGCGUGGGGGAUGAAGGCCUUCGGGUCGUAAACCCCUGUCAGAGGGGACGAAAAACAUGACGGUACCCUCAGAGGAAGCCACGGCUAACUACGUGCCAGCAGCCGCGGUAAUACGUAGGUGGCGAGCGUUAUGCGGAUACACUGGGCGUAAAGGGUCCGCAGGGGGUUUGCCGAGUCCGAUGUGAAAGUCCGCAGCUCAACUGCGGAACUGCGUCGGAUACUGGUGAACUUGAGUGCGCGAAGGGCGAGCGGAAUUCCAGGUGUAGCGGUGGAAUGCGUAGAUAUCUGGAAGAACACCGGCGGCGAAAGCGGCUCGCUGGCGCGCCACUGACCUUCAUUGACGAAAGCCGUGGGAGCGAACAGGAUUAGAUACACUGGUUAGUCCACGCUGUAAACGGUGCAGACUCGAAUGCGGGGGGCAGUCCCCCUCCGUGUCUAAACCAACGCGUUAAGUCUCCGCCCUGGGACUACGCCCGCAAGGCUUAAACUCAAAAGGAAUUGAUCGGGGGCCCCCACAAAACAGGUGGAGCAUGUGGCUUAAAUUCGAGGCAAACGCGAAAGAACCUUACCCGGGCUUGACAUAUUCCGGCCGGCCUGUGAAAGCAGGUUUUCCUUUCGGGGACGCGAUAUACAGGUGCUGCAUGCAUGUCGUCAGCUCGUGCCGUGAGGUGUUCGGUUAAGUCCGGCAACGAGCGCAACCCGUAUCGUCAGUUGCCAU